AGGCUGAAGACUUUGCCGGAUUAGCUGAGAGGUGGUGCAUGGCCGUCGUCAGUUCGUACUGUGAAGCAUCCUGUUAAGUCAGGCAACGAGCGAGACCCACGCCCACAGUUGCCAGCGUACUCUCUGGAGUGACGGGUACAUUGUGGGGACCGCAGCUGCUAAAGCGGAGGAAGGAAUGGGCAACGGUAGGUCAGUAUGCCCCGAAUAUCCCGGGCUACACGCGAGCUACAAUGGUUGGUACAAUGGGUAUCUACCCCGAAAGGGGACGGGAAUCUCCUAAAACCAAUCUUAGUUCGGAUUGAGGGCUGCAACUCGCCCUCAUGAAGCUGGAAUCCGUAGUAAUCGCGUUUCAACAGAACGCGGUGAAUACGUCCCUGCUCCUU
RNAcentral lists this ribosomal RNA (383 nucleotides) under uncultured Methanosaeta sp. Its description in RNAcentral is "bacterial SSU rRNA". It matches the Rfam family "Archaeal small subunit ribosomal RNA", at positions 956 to 1338 of the family's 1478-position model. Lineage: Archaea; Methanobacteriati; Methanobacteriota; Methanomicrobia; Methanotrichales; Methanotrichaceae. The record is from RNAcentral.